UCUGUCAAAAUCACCAGGGAUGGAUGACGUGCAAUCUCGAGCAUCCCGAUCGCGACAUAAAUGUAAACAAAAAAUUAUCAUAGAAAAAGAAAAACGACUCACAGCAUCGAAUAUUGCAGUGAUUGUACAUGGCAAGGCUUUAGUUUUGGCGUAAGUAGACACUCGAUGUAGACGUUUGACUUGUGAAGAGAGCGGUGAAGUAACUGUAUUAGACUGUCCUGUACCAAACUGUCGCCCAGGUUGUAUACUUUAUGGUUUUACACCCAUAGAUGACAGUAAAGAUUAUCCACACUGCUGUGAACAAGUAAAUGCUCUUAUGGAGGCUAUGUUUAUGACAGAGGUUU
Molecule: unclassified non-coding RNA, 344 nt
Filed under: Monomorium pharaonis (pharaoh ant)
Lineage: Eukaryota; Metazoa; Arthropoda; Insecta; Hymenoptera; Formicidae
Description: uncharacterized LOC105840242, transcript variant X1
Source: RNAcentral